Molecule: long non-coding RNA, 264 nt
Organism: Apis dorsata (giant honeybee)
Lineage: Eukaryota; Metazoa; Arthropoda; Insecta; Hymenoptera; Apidae
Exons: 3
Source: RefSeq, a predicted model, not a curated record
GAUCGUUUAAUAUUGUGAUAUUUUGUGAACGAAACUUACCUUUGGAUACCAGUUACGCAAUUACGAUUUGUGCAAAAUGAAAUCAACAUCAUGGAAUAUUAACUCGAACUUUUAUGCUAAAUCAUUAUGGAUGUCGUCAAUUUGGAUCACGUCAGGUGAGUUACAGUUCCAUAUUAAACGAUUAAUUAAUAUUUAUACGCUUUAUACUGAUAUCAUUCUAUUAUUACAAACAAUGGACAAACUGAUAAAAAUUCAUGAAAUUUG